AAGGGAAGGUGCCCGUACUGACAUCGGCGAAAGUCUCGUGGAAACGAGCCCCAGUGAAGGUGAGAGGCCUGCACAUCGCUGCCUGUUUUGUACGAACGGUACCUCUUCCUGGAGUCACACUCUUUGGGAUUGGAGUGCUGGAUAGGUGGUAAAUCUCAUCUACGACUACAUAAAGGUCUGGAACCGAUAGCAGAGAAGUACCAUAA
This 206-nucleotide ribosomal RNA is filed under the name Timspurckia oligopyrenoides. RNAcentral's name for it is "partial Eukaryotic large subunit ribosomal RNA". It matches the Rfam family "Eukaryotic large subunit ribosomal RNA", at positions 151 to 356 of the family's 3401-position model. The record is from RNAcentral. Lineage: Eukaryota; Rhodophyta; Bangiophyceae; Porphyridiales; Porphyridiaceae.